Molecule: ribosomal RNA, 253 nt
Filed under: uncultured bacterium
Lineage: Bacteria
Description: partial 16S ribosomal RNA
Rfam family: Bacterial small subunit ribosomal RNA
Source: RNAcentral
UACGUAGGGCGCAAGCGUUGUCCGGAAUCAUUGGGCGUAAAGAGCUCGUAGGCGGCCUGUUGCGUCCGCUGUGAAAUCCCGGGGCUUAACCCCGGGCGUGCAGUGGAUACGGGCUGGCUGGAGGCAGGCAGGGGAGAACGGAAUUCCCGGUGUAGCGGUGAAAUGCGCAGAUAUCGGGAGGAACACCGGUGGCGAAGGCGGUUCUCUGGGCCUUACCUGACGCUGAGGAGCGAAAGCGUGGGGAGCGAACAGG